UCGCAAUCCGCCAACCGGUGAAGCCGGGGCCGCGGAAGGUUGAUCAACCCAUCGUAGCCCUGGGAACCGGGGCGAAAGGUGCGCG
Molecule: regulatory RNA element, 85 nt
Organism: Rubrivivax gelatinosus IL144
Lineage: Bacteria; Pseudomonadati; Pseudomonadota; Betaproteobacteria; Burkholderiales; Sphaerotilaceae
Rfam family: SucA RNA motif
Source: Rfam